GGGUUGUGAGGUUAAGCGACUAAGCGUACACGGUGGAUGCCUAGGCAGUCAGAGGCGAUGAAGGGCGUGCUAAUCUGCGAAAAGCGUCGGUAAGGUGAUAUGAACCGUUACAACCGACGAUACCCGAAUGGGGGAAACCCAGUGCAAUUCGUUGCACUAUUGCAUGGUGAAUACAUAGCCAUGCAAGGCGAACCGGGGGAACUGAAACAUCUAAGUACCCCGAGGAAAAGAAAUCAACCGAGAUUCCCCCAGUAGCGGCGAGCGAACGGGGAGGAGCCCAGAGUCUGAAUCAGUUUGUGUGUUAGUGGAAGCGUCUGGAAAGUCGCAGGGUACAGGGUGAUACUCCCGUACACAAAAACACACUUGCUGUGAACUCGAUGAGUAGGGCGGGACACGUGACAUCCUGUCUGAAUAUGGGGGGACCAUCCUCCAAGGCUAAAUACUCCUGACUGACCGAUAGUGAACCAGUACCGUGAGGGAAAGGCGAAAAGAACCCCGGCGAGGGGAGUGAAAUAGAACCUGAAACCGUGUACGUACAAGCAGUGGGAGCACCUUCGUGGUGUGACUGCGUACCUUUUGUAUAAUGGGUCAGCGACUUAUAUUUUGUAGCAAGGUUAACCGAAUAGGGGAGCCGUAGGGAAACCGAGUCUUAACUGGGCGUCUAGUUGCAAGGUAUAGACCCGAAACCCGGUGAUCUAGCCAUGGGCAGGUUGAAGGUUGGGUAACACUAACUGGAGGACCGAACCGACUAAUGUUGAAAAAUUAGCGGAUGACUUGUGGCUGGGGGUGAAAGGCCAAUCAAACCGGGAGAUAGCUGGUUCUCCCCGAAAGCUAUUUAGGUAGCGCCUCGUGAACUCAUCUUCGGGGGUAGAGCACUGUUUCGGCUAGGGGGUCAUCCCGACUUACCAAACCGAUGCAAACUCCGAAUACCGAAGAAUGUUAUCACGGGAGACACACGGCGGGUGCUAACGUCCGUCGUGAAGAGGGAAACAACCCAGACCGCCAGCUAAGGUCCCAAAGUCAUGGUUAAGUGGGAAACGAUGUGGGAAGGCAUAGACAGCCAGGAUGUUGGCUUAGAAGCAGCCAUCAUUUAAAGAAAGCGUAAUAGCUCACUGGUCGAGUCGGCCUGCGCGGAAGAUGUAACGGGGCUAAACCAUGCACCGAAGCUGCGGCAGCGACACUUAGGUGUUGUUGGGUAGGGGAGCGUUCUGUAAGCCGUUGAAGGUGACCUGUGAGGGUUGCUGGAGGUAUCAGAAGUGCGAAUGCUGACAUAAGUAACGAUAAUGCGGGUGAAAAGCCCGCACGCCGGAAGACCAAGGGUUCCUGUCCAACGUUAAUCGGGGCAGGGUGAGUCGACCCCUAAGGCGAGGCUGAAAAGCGUAGUCGAUGGGAAACAGGUUAAUAUUCCUGUACUUGGUGUUACUGCGAAGGGGGGGACGGAGAAGGCUAGGCUAGCCGGGCGACGGUUGUCCCGGUUUAAGCAUGUAGGCGGAGUGACUUGGUAAAUCCGGUUGCUUAUCAACGCUGAGGUGUGAUGACGAGUCACUACGGUGAUGAAGUAGUUGAUGCCAAGCUUCCAGGAAAAGCCUCUAAGCAUCAGGUAACAUUAAAUCGUACCCCAAACCGACACAGGUGGUCAGGUAGAGAAUACUCAGGCGCUUGAGAGAACUCGGGUGAAGGAACUAGGCAAAAUGGUGCCGUAACUUCGGGAGAAGGCACGCUGGCAUUAGGUAAAGAGACUUGCUCUCGGCGCCGAAGCCAGUCGCAGAUACCAGCUGGCUGCAACUGUUUAAUAAAAACACAGCACUGUGCAAACACGAAAGUGGACGUAUACGGUGUGACGCCUGCCCGGUGCUGGAAGGUUAAUUGAUGGGGUCAGCCGCAAGGCGAAGCUCUUGAUCGAAGCCCCAGUAAACGGCGGCCGUAACUAUAACGGUCCUAAGGUAGCGAAAUUCCUUGUCGGGUAAGUUCCGACCUGCACGAAUGGCGUAAUGAUGGCCAGGCUGUCUCCACCCGAGACUCAGUGAAAUUGAACUCGCUGUGAAGAUGCAGUGUACCCGCGGCAAGACGGAAAGACCCCGUGAACCUUUACUAUAGCUUGACACUGAACAUUGAGCCUUGAUGUGUAGGAUAGGUGGGAGGCAUCGAAGCGUGGACGCCAGUCUGCGUGGAGCCAACCUUGAAAUACCACCCUUUAAUGUUUGAUGUUCUAACUCGGCCCCGUGAUCCGGGGUGAGGACAGUGUCUGGUGGGUAGUUUGACUGGGGCGGUCUCCUCCCAAAGAGUAACGGAGGAGCACGAAGGUUAGCUAAUCACGGUCGGACAUCGUGAGGUUAGUGCAAAGGCAUAAGCUAGCUUGACUGCGAGAGUGACGGCUCGAGCAGGUACGAAAGUAGGUCUUAGUGAUCCGGUGGUUCUGAAUGGAAGGGCCAUCGCUCAACGGAUAAAAGGUACUCCGGGGAUAACAGGCUGAUACCGCCCAAGAGUUCAUAUCGACGGCGGUGUUUGGCACCUCGAUGUCGGCUCAUCACAUCCUGGGGCUGAAGUAGGUCCCAAGGGUAUGGCUGUUCGCCAUUUAAAGUGGUACGCGAGCUGGGUUUAGAACGUCGUGAGACAGUUCGGUCCCUAUCUGCCGUGGGCGUUGGAAGAUUGAGAGGGGCUGCUCCUAGUACGAGAGGACCGGAGUGGACGAAUCACUGGUGUUCGGGUUGUCAUGCCAAUGGCAUUGCCCGGUAGCUAAAUUCGGAAGAGAUAACCGCUGAAAGCAUCUAAGCGGGAAACUUGCCUCGAGAUGAGUCUUCCCUGGGGCUUUAAGCCCCCUGAAGGAACGUUAAAGACUAUGACGUUGAUAGGCUGGGUGUGUAAGUGCAGCGAUGCAUUGAGCUAACCAGUACUAAUGAUCCGUGAGGCUUAACCUUACAACACCGAAGGUGUUU
RNAcentral lists this ribosomal RNA (2936 nucleotides) under Yersinia canariae. Its description in RNAcentral is "23S ribosomal RNA". It matches the Rfam family "Bacterial large subunit ribosomal RNA". The record is from RNAcentral. Lineage: Bacteria; Pseudomonadati; Pseudomonadota; Gammaproteobacteria; Enterobacterales; Yersiniaceae.